UUUGGUAGCCAUAGAGGAGAGGGUACACCCGACCCCAUUCCGAACUCGGAAGUUAAGCUCUCCAUCGCCGAUGAUACUGCA
This 81-nucleotide ribosomal RNA is filed under the name Desulfovibrio piger. Lineage: Bacteria; Pseudomonadati; Thermodesulfobacteriota; Desulfovibrionia; Desulfovibrionales; Desulfovibrionaceae. The record is from RNAcentral.